This 468-nucleotide ribosomal RNA is filed under the name uncultured bacterium. RNAcentral's name for it is "partial 16S ribosomal RNA". It matches the Rfam family "Bacterial small subunit ribosomal RNA", at positions 28 to 507 of the family's 1533-position model. The record is from RNAcentral.
GACGAACGCUGGCGGCGUGCUUAACACAUGCAAGUCGAGCGGAAAGGCCCUGCGUUUGUUUGUUUCUCGAUUGGCGAAGGGGGGUGUAACACGUGAGGAACCUCCCCUUAACUUUGUGGUAACUUCAGGAGACUGCGGCUAAUACCGGGUAUGAUCUCCUGCUGCAUGUGGUUGGAUGGUAAAUUUCGGCGGUUGUGGCUGGAUUCGCUGCUUAUCAGCUUGUUUGGGUGGUAGUUGCUGCCGAGGCCUUUGACGGGUAGCCUGCCUGAGAGGGUGACCGGCGACAUUGGGCCUGCGAUACGGCCCAGUAUCCUACGGGAGGCAGUAGUGGGGAACCUUGCACAACGGGGCGAAGCCUGAUGUAGAAAUGCCGCGUGCGGGAUGCUGGCCUUCGGGUUGUAAACAGAUUUCGAAUGUGCCGAAGAGUGCGUGACGGUACUUGGUAAAGAAGCCACGGCUAACUACGUG